CUCGAGGGCCAGGCAUGCUGCCAACUGCCCAGUCAAGGAGGGAUAGAGGUCAUGAAGACUAUGAUAGGAGGAAGUAACAACCCCGGAAGAGAGUAGUGACCCCCGGAGUGCUCCUGGCACAGGCACGCUCCAGUCCAUCAUCAUGCUGCAGAAGUGCAGACGUGAAAAUUUGGAAAUCCCUCCUUCUGGCGUGUGAUGGCCACAUACAUCAGAAUGAGACUGCAAACUCCCCAGAUAAAAUGCCUGAACCUGUGUGCUGGGACGAGGCACUCAGAACACUGAGGACCACGUUGCCUCUGCGGCGAUGCCCGCUAAGUGUUUUGCCUGCCGAACCUCACCAUGACCAGACUUGGAGCUGGACUCCUUGCCUUCCAAACACUUCUUCUGGGAUUGGUCACUCUGCUGUUCUCUGCUUUGAUAUUCUUCAGCACAUCUCCACAAGCAGUUUUAAGCUGGCUUCAUUUAACAGCUAAGGUGAUGACAGGAACCAUAAAAUAGAAGGACGGUAAACAAGAUAACAGGAGUGCUGAAAACACAGUGACAGUGGAAAAGCUUAAGGAACUACGGGUGAAAAGGUACAGGAGAAAAAGAAUUACUGUGUUACUU
This 606-nucleotide long non-coding RNA is filed under the name Manacus vitellinus (golden-collared manakin). RNAcentral's name for it is "lncRNA (ENSMVIG00005004896.1)". Lineage: Eukaryota; Metazoa; Chordata; Aves; Passeriformes; Pipridae. The record is from RNAcentral.